GAGCGGGGCCGUACUUGAGACUGUGUCGAACCAAUAGCUCAGACCCGCUAACCCAGCUCAAAUUUUCGUAUUACACUAGUGUUCCUGACUCUACAUGUUACAUCCAACUGCUCGAGCUCAUCCUGCUCCA
This is a small nucleolar RNA of Caenorhabditis elegans, 130 nucleotides long. The record is from Ensembl. NCBI's taxonomy places the organism in Eukaryota, Metazoa, Nematoda, Chromadorea, Rhabditida, Rhabditidae.